Molecule: ribosomal RNA, 459 nt
Filed under: uncultured bacterium
Lineage: Bacteria
Description: bacterial SSU rRNA
Rfam family: Bacterial small subunit ribosomal RNA
Source: RNAcentral
AGAGUUUGAUCCUGGCUCAGAUUGAACGCUGGCGGCAGGCCUAACACAUGCAAGUCGAACGGUAACAGGAAGCAGCUUGCUGCUUCGCUGACGAGUGGCGGACAGGUGAGUAAUGUCUGGGAAACUGCCUGAUGGAGGGGGAUAACUACUGGAAACGGUAGCUAAUACCGCAUAACGUCGCAAGACCAAAGAGGGGGACCUUAGGGCCUCUUGCCAUCGGAUGUGCCCAGAUGGGAUUAGCUAGUAGGUGGGGUAACGGCUCACCUAGGCGACGAUCCCUAGCUGGUCUGAGAGGAUGACCAGCCACACUGGAACUGAGACACGGCCCAGACUCCUACGGGAGGCAGCAGUGGGGAAUAUUGCACAAUGGGCGCAAGCCUGAUGCAGCCAUGCCGCGUGUAUGAAGAAGGCCUUCGGGUUGUAAAGUACUUUCAGCGGGGAGGAAGGGAGUAAAGUUAA